GGGUGGGGUAGGAGGAGGUGCCAGGAUUUGUCUUCAGGCUCCGGCUCCCGGCUCCGGCAACUUGAGGAAGAUGCUGCCCUUGGCCAGGACAGCGAUGCUGAAGGAGGACCAGAUGCUAAUAACAAUUAAGAAUAUCAGCAGAAGAAAAUCUGGAAGGAAAAUCUAGCUAUUAUUUUCAUGAGGGGCUCAUGCAGAGGGCAAGAGGCACUCCAGGAACAUCAUGGGGCACCCUGCCUGCCACGUCCUCCCAGGACCGAGCCCCAACACAGUCCAGCCUUGGGAGCCACGCCUGCCCAGUCUCGAGAUGUGAAACCAGCCAAGAACCUCCAUACUGGAACACGCCCACGACUCCCGGACCGAGUUGCUGGAGAAAGAGGGACCCUGCCUUCUAGAAAACGUUAGGAGUUAUCGUCCUAACCAAGCGUUUUCCAAGAUUAUAAAGAAAAGGGUAUUGACAACUGUGGGCAACAGGCAACUGGAGAGGACUGCAAAGGAAAAAUUUUUCAAAGAUUCAAUUGAGAAGACAACUGGAUAUAAGGAAUUCUAAGUUUGUUUAUCCAUAAUGGAGACGUCUGAUUCAGCUGGAUUAAAGAAGAACCAAUGGAAUCCCCAAAAGUACGGGAAACUAAAUCCGUGAUGCUAGGUUUUACCUCAGCUGGCUUGCCAACACCCACUACAAUCAAUUUGCCAUCUUCUAAUCCUACAAGAAUAUGGCUAUAUUCUUUGGUUACACAAACACCAAAUAGGCGAUCGCAUGGCUAAUGGGUUGAUGCUGAGAUUCAAACUAGAAGAGAAAUAAAAAACACAUAAUUACACAGAUAUACAAUGGAUUCAUAGAACUUUAUAACUGGAAGAUAACUUAAUAGUCAACUAAUUAUACAUUCUAAUUUUAUAAAUGUGGGAACUUAAGUUCAGAAAACCUGAGUGACAAAAGAGCCGACAUUUAUAGCAUUACUCAAAAUACUUAAUACAGUUUUUCUCUAUUUCCAACAUCUGUUUGCCCUCUAACCAUUUAUAUGUGUUCUCACGAAAUGAUUAACAAAUGAAAGUUGGAUAAACAAAAGGGUAAAAGCCCAAAAAGUAUGUGCUGGUGGGGAAUAAGGUCAAUAAAAUUGGUAUAUUUGCUUUGUCAUGCAAAAAAAAAAAAAGAACCUCCAUACUGUUCUCCCUAGUGGAUCUCCAUUGUACAUUUCCAACCACAGUGCAGGAUAAUUCUCUUCUCUCUACACCGUCUCUAGCAUUUAUUUUUGGACAUAUUUUGAGAUGGCCGUUCUGACCUGUGUGAGGUAAUACCUUGUUGGAUUUCCUCUGUGUGUGAGAAUUAGUGAUGCUGAGAAUGUCCUCAGGUGCCUAAUCGCAGUGUGUAUGUCUUCCUCCAAGAAACACCUGUUUCUGUGUUUGGCCCGUUUGUGUCUUGGGUUGUCUGUGUCUUUGAUACUGAGCUGUAUGAGCUGUCUGUAUGUUUCAGAGAUGAAUUCCUUGUGAGUAUCUUCAUUUGCAAACAUUUUUUCCCAUUCUGGGUUGCAUUUAUCUUUCAUUUAGGGUUUCCUUUGCUAUACAAAUGUUUUAUGGUUAAUUAGAUCCCUUUUUCUUACUUUUGAUUUAUUUUUCAUUCAUCUAAGAGGUGUAUCCAUAAAGACCUUGCUGUGAUUUAUGUCUGUGUGUGUCCUGCCUAUGUUUUCCUUAAGCUUUCAUAGUAUCCAUCCUCACAUUUAGAUCUUUAUAUUCUUUGGAGUAUAUUUUGUGUAUGGUGUUAGGGAGUAUUCUAACCUCAUUUUCUUUGCCUCAAUAACCACUACACCAUCCUCCACACAUCCUCUAUUACCAGUUUAUAUUCCCAACAUCAGGGGAGGAACAUUCCCUUUUCUCCACACCUUCACUGGCAGUUCAGAGAAGGCAAUGGCACCC
Long non-coding RNA from Cervus elaphus (red deer), 1908 nucleotides. RefSeq lists it as uncharacterized. The transcript is spliced from 4 exons. Lineage: Eukaryota; Metazoa; Chordata; Mammalia; Artiodactyla; Cervidae. The record is from RefSeq and is a predicted model, not a curated record.